GGGGACAUAGCUCAGUGGUAGGGCCCGUGCUUGGCAUGCAUGAAGUCCUAGGUUCAACUCCCAGUGCCUUA
RNAcentral lists this transfer RNA (71 nucleotides) under Camelus ferus (Wild Bactrian camel). It matches the Rfam family "tRNA". Rfam says of the family: Transfer RNA (tRNA) molecules are approximately 80 nucleotides in length. Their secondary structure includes four short double-helical elements and three loops (D, anti-codon, and T loops). The record is from Rfam by way of RNAcentral. Lineage: Eukaryota; Metazoa; Chordata; Mammalia; Artiodactyla; Camelidae.